RNAcentral lists this ribosomal RNA (384 nucleotides) under uncultured prokaryote. RNAcentral's name for it is "bacterial SSU rRNA". It matches the Rfam family "Archaeal small subunit ribosomal RNA", at positions 341 to 725 of the family's 1478-position model. The record is from RNAcentral.
GCGAAAACUUUACAAUGCUGGCAACAGCAAUAAGGGAACCUCGAGUGCCAGGUUACAAAUCUGGCUGUCGAGAUGCCUAAAAAGCAUUUCAUAGCAAGGGCCGGGCAAGACCGGUGCCAGCCGCCGCGGUAACACCGGCGGCUCAAGUGGUAACCGUUAUUAUUGGGUCUAAAGGGUCUGUAGCCGGCCGGAUAAGUCUCUUGAGAAAUCUGGCAGCUUAACUGUCAGGCUUUCAGGAGAUACUGUCUGGCUCGAGGCCGGGAGAGGUGAGAGGUACUUCAGGGUUAGGGGUGAAAUCUUGUAAUCCUUGAAGGACCACCAGUGGCGAAGGCGUCUCACCAGAACGGACCUGACGGCAAGGGACGAAAGCUAGGGGCACGAACC